RNAcentral lists this ribosomal RNA (305 nucleotides) under uncultured bacterium. RNAcentral describes it as "bacterial SSU rRNA". It matches the Rfam family "Bacterial small subunit ribosomal RNA", at positions 333 to 655 of the family's 1533-position model. The record is from RNAcentral.
CUUUGCCUACGGGGGGCAGCAGUGGGGAAUAUUGCACAAUGGGGGAAACCCUGAUGCAGCGACGCCGCGUGAGUGAAGAAGUAUUUCGGUAUGUAAAGCUCUAUCAGCAGGGCAGAUAAUGACGGUACCUGACUAAGGAGCCCCGGCUAACUACGUGCCAGCAGCCGCGGUAAUACGUAGGGGGCAAGCGUUAUCCGGAUUUACUGGGUGUAAAGGGAGCGUAGGUGGCAGGGCAAGUCAGAUGUGAAAACCCGGGGCUCAACUCCGGGAGUGCAUUUGAAACUGUCCAGCUAGAGUGCAGGCGG